Long non-coding RNA from Daphnia pulex (common water flea), 1568 nucleotides. RefSeq lists it as uncharacterized. The transcript has 2 exons. Lineage: Eukaryota; Metazoa; Arthropoda; Branchiopoda; Diplostraca; Daphniidae. The record is from RefSeq and is a predicted model, not a curated record.
GUUCUGGAGAAAAUCCGCUUGGUGUCGCUACCAUUCAUCGUGGCAACCUGGGAUCCAGCCUUAUGGGAAAUUUCUAGUGCGUGAACAUACCAUCCCCUCUUCUACCAUGAAGACAUCUUGUAAUGGUUCAUGUGGUGAGCAGCAAGUAGGCCAAAUGCAAACAGAAUGUAAAAAUCACUGCAUCCUCCAAUAAACUGCAUUGACAGCCAGCAACAAAAAGAAGGGUUCCUCAAGCUAAUAAAGCAUUAAAAUUUCCUAAAGUACUAACUAUUGGUCAACACCAGCGUUGUUUCUCUCAUACACCAUCGCCUGCUCGAAGUUGUCUUUACGUAGCUCAGGAUAAAUUCUCCGUGCACUGCUUGUCGACAAUGAAAACGCAGUUGAUGGAGAAUUCUUCGAUCUGGUAGUAGGAUGUGUCGGGGGUAGUAGCUCCAGUCGUCAGGAACGGGUUGGGUAAUUGGGUUGGCUCCAGCCAUGGGAAAGUGGGAGGGUUCCAGCCGUCGGAGGCUUCGGAGCGCUUCUAGCGGCGUGACGGCGCAAUAGCGCGGUUCUCCGUUGCUACGUGUACCUGCUGUCUGCUGCUGUGUGUUUCGUCACAUGCAGAAACACAUAAGAACUACUAAACUAUCACUAAAGUAAUUGUGUUGACACAAUCUAAGGGUUAUCCCGAAAACUAUUAGUGAGAGUACUCGAUGUACAAAAGAUUCAAUUUUGUUCCCGGUUAUUUCAAUGAAAUCGGAUCAAUAUAUUUCAAGUGUAUUGCAUGAAUGGUGAGAAAACCUAAAGGAGUUUCCUUAAUAAUUAAAGAGUUCUGCGGUACAACAAAACAAAACGGGUGAUAUUUUGGACAGAGAUGGGGGAAAUCAAGAGCACAGACAAAAUUGGCAGGAAGGAGGGACAAGUGAAGACGUUCUUAUUUUUUUAAUUAUAAAAUCAAGAAGGGAAGUCAAAUUUCAAAAAAAAAAAGAGCCAUCGCGCGAAAAAUAAAUUUGAUCCUAUGCAUUUCAAAUCUCUCUCGUUGUUACAUCAAGUAAGUUAAGUCUCUAGCGCCACUUUCGCAAUUUGAAUCUACUUUCUAAAAAUAUUUCCAUUGAGACGAAUAUAGGGUUGCUUGCCAUAAUUCUCUUGUUUUGUUCCUCUCAAUCUCUCUCCUACACGUCUUUUGAUACAACAAACUUUUUCUGCCUUCUCCGCGUAUAUUUGUUAUGAACCAAUCCUGCAAGUUAAGGUAUAGAUCAGUUGGUUUUGCAAUUCACAACAAAGAAGAAGGAGGAAUAAAGAGACAUACGACUGCAUCGAAUCGAGAGAUGUACAGGGAAAAAAAGAGGGGGAAAAAUUCUUCGAGUCCAGAGGUUCGCUAGUCGCCGAAGAAAGCUUUGAAAAAUAAGGAACAAAAUAAAACAAAACAGAAAAAAAAGAAUGCAAUAGAGAUCGGCCUUAGCGCCAGGAUCCGACUGACUCCAUGUCUUGAUUGGCACGUUAAACAAUCGUCCACCGUGUUAAUUAUUGAUUUUUCGUUUCUUUCAAUACAUCUUCACAACUGGGAGGGUAGGGUAUGGGGUGUGUGG